RNAcentral lists this ribosomal RNA (508 nucleotides) under uncultured bacterium. RNAcentral's name for it is "bacterial SSU rRNA". It matches the Rfam family "Bacterial small subunit ribosomal RNA", at positions 28 to 526 of the family's 1533-position model. The record is from RNAcentral.
GAUGAACGCUAGCGGCAGGCUUAAUACAUGCAAGUCGAGGGGGAUUAGUUUUGUAGCGAUACGAGAUUAUGAGACCGGCAAACGGGUGAGGAACACGUACGCAACCUUCCCAGAACUGGUGAAUAGCCCUCCGAAAGGAGGAUUAAUACACCGUAACAUAAUGAAUGGGCAUCCAUUUAUUAUUAUAGUCCCGACGGUUCUGGAUGGGCGUGCGCCUGAUUAUGGUAGUUGGCGGGGUAACGGCCCACCAAGCCUACGAUCAGUAACUGGUGUGAGAGCACGACCAGUCACACGGGCACUGAGACACGGGCCCGACUCCUACGGGAGGCAGCAGUAAGGAAUGUUGGUCAAUGGACGAAAGUCUGAACCAGCCAUGCCGCGUGAAGGAUGAAGGUCCUCUGGAUUGUAAACUUCUUUUAUAUGGGACGAAGAAAGGGAAUUCUUUCUCACUUGACGGUACCAUAGGAAUAAGCACCGGCUAACUCCGUGCCAGCAGCCGCGGUAAUGU